UGCCUCUACAAGCCCAGGACUCAGAAGAUUGCCGGCAAGUCCCCAGAAGCUAGGGGAGAGGCAUGGAACAGAUUCUUCCUCACAGCCCUCAGAAGGAACCCACCAUACCCAUACCUGGAUUGUGGGCUUCUAGCCUCCAAAACUGUGGGACAAUCUGUUUCUGUUUGUGAAGCCACCCAGUCUGUAUUACUUCUUAUGGCAGCCCGAGCAAAUGAAUAAAGUAUGUCUAGGCUUUAGGCUUCUAGAGCUUUAGAGGUGAUGACCUACCAUGUACAGGCUUUGGAGAGGCAGCACAGUGUGGUCGCAAGAGAGUGGGCUGGCAGCUGGGGACAGUCCCAGCUCUGCCACUGACUUGCUGGGCUAGUCUUCCUGCCUGUGAACUGAGGGGGUGGGACUGCAAGAUUUCUAGGGUCCUUCCCAGCCCUGACUUUUCCUAUUUGAGGAGCUGUGAAGAGGAGGCCAAGCAAGGUCAGGUGGCACAAUCCAGGUCACCCAGAGGGUUAAUCGGAAGUGGUCCCAGGAACAGCGUCUCGCCAAUUGCAUGAUGAUUGCUCCUUUGCCCGAGAUGCCUCCCAGCAGAGUCUACAGCAAGCCUGACCUUCUCUGAUCCUCUGUUCUCAGCCCCUGGGUGGCCUUGGUGCUGUGUGGGUCUGAUAAGGCCCUGGCUAUUUGGAAAGGUGGCUUCCUGCAGGAGGGAGUAUGAGGAGGGCCCUGCUGGUGUCCUGCGAGUUCUUGCACUGCCUCCCUAGGCUGCCUGGAUAGAAGGCAGAGGCCUGGGACCCACUGUGCAGUGGCACAAUAUGUCUUUGUCUGGCCAGGGCUUCUGGGGAUCAUGGAGGCUGAUCACAUAUCCAUUCUCCCCAGUAUUUUCUUGGAGUCCCUGGCGGAAGGCUCGAUGCUCUGGCUGGCCUGCUGACUUCCCUUCCUGCCUGAUUCCAGGGCCUUCUUAGAACUAGCCUAGGGACUCAGGCUGGUCCACACCAAAUGGAUGGCAGCAUUUAAAAACUAACAGUUUGCAGUUGUCAGGUUGUUGCUGAGUGGCCCUCUGACUCCCUUGCCUUUCAGUGUCUGAAACAGUGUAUCCAAGGGAGGUCUACAGUGAGAUGCUGCAAGUCUCUGUCCUCACAGGGCUACUGCGGUACGUCCAGUUGUCAGUUUCACGGAGCUGGAAGGGAGAGUAGAGAUGCUGCUUGGCUGAAUGGGAGGUACAAAGAUUCAGUGUUUGAAAACAUGGAUCUUAAAAAUGAC
Molecule: long non-coding RNA, 1248 nt
Filed under: Homo sapiens (human)
Lineage: Eukaryota; Metazoa; Chordata; Mammalia; Primates; Hominidae
Description: HSALNT0006465
Source: RNAcentral